AAAGUACUCCCUCCGUCCCAAAAUUCUUGUCUUAGAUUUGUCUAGAUACGGAUGUAUCAAGUCACAUUUUAGUAUUAGAUACAUCCGUAUCUAGAAAAAUCUAAGAAAAGAAAUUUGGGACAGAGGGAGUAGUUG
This is a non-coding RNA of Triticum aestivum (bread wheat), 135 nucleotides long. NCBI's taxonomy places the organism in Eukaryota, Viridiplantae, Streptophyta, Magnoliopsida, Poales, Poaceae. The record is from Rfam.